ACUCCUACGGGAGGCAGCAGUGAGGAAUAUUGGACAAUGGGCGAGAGCCUGAUCCAGCCAUGCCGCGUGCAGGAAGACUGCCCUAUGGGUUGUAAACUGCUUUUAUACGGGAAGAAACACCCUCACGUGUGGGGGCUUGACGGUACCGUAUGAAUAAGGAUCGGCUAACUCCGUGCCAGCAGCCGCGGUAA
RNAcentral lists this ribosomal RNA (191 nucleotides) under uncultured bacterium. RNAcentral describes it as "partial 16S ribosomal RNA". It matches the Rfam family "Bacterial small subunit ribosomal RNA", at positions 335 to 523 of the family's 1533-position model. The record is from RNAcentral.